CUUGCUCCACCGGAAAAAGAAGAGUGGCGAACGGGUGAGUAACACGUGGGUAACCUGCCCAUCAGAAGGGGAUAACACUUGGAAACAGGUGCUAAUACCGUAUAACAAUCGAAACCGCAUGGUUUUGAUUUGAAAGGCGCUUUCGGGUGUCGCUGAUGGAUGGACCCGCGGUGCAUUAGCUAGUUGGUGAGGUAACGGCUCACCAAGGCCACGAUGCAUAGCCGACCUGAGAGGGUGAUCGGCCACAUUGGGACUGAGACACGGCCCAAACUCCUACGGGAGGCAGCAGUAGGGAAUCUUCGGCAAUGGACGAAAGUCUGACCGAGCAACGCCGCGUGAGUGAAGAAGGUUUUCGGAUCGUAAAACUCUGUUGUUAGAGAAGAACAAGGAUGAGAGUAACUGUUCAUCCCUUGACGGUAUCUAACCAGAAAGCCACGGCUAACUAC
Molecule: ribosomal RNA, 446 nt
Filed under: Enterococcus durans
Lineage: Bacteria; Bacillati; Bacillota; Bacilli; Lactobacillales; Enterococcaceae
Description: bacterial SSU rRNA
Rfam family: Bacterial small subunit ribosomal RNA
Source: RNAcentral